Galeopterus variegatus (Sunda flying lemur) is the source of this 723-nucleotide long non-coding RNA. RefSeq lists it as uncharacterized. The transcript is spliced from 2 exons. The record is from RefSeq and is a predicted model, not a curated record. NCBI's taxonomy places the organism in Eukaryota, Metazoa, Chordata, Mammalia, Dermoptera, Cynocephalidae.
CCCCGCCUGUGGGCGGUGCGCGGCGUCCCCUCGCCGGGUAGGCGGGGCGCGGCGCGCGGGAAGGAGGCUGUGGACCCUGGGCUGCGAGCCGACUGGCGGGACCGCGGGCUGAGGAGAGAAGGCCGGGGAAGCGGCCGUGGAGCGCGUGUCCUCUGGCCCUCCCGAGCAGCCCUGCAAGUGCCGUCCUGUCCUUGCCAUUGAGGGCGCGGCUUGAAGAUGCGCUUCCUGCCUGGAAGUCCCUCGCGUGUUUGGAGAAGAGGCAGGGCAGGCCCCCGUGAACGCUGCACGAGAAGCGAAGGCCUCUCUGCUCAAGCCCAGUGGACGGAAGCCCGGAGCCUGCCAGCACCUCAGGACGGACUGUCACAGUGUUUGGGUCCCGUCCUGUGCCUGGAAGGAAAUCAUUGACCGUUCAUGGUCUGCUCUGCCGGACACACUGUCCCCGGCUCGCUGUGUCCCCGUCAUAAGACCCCCAUCUUGGAAAGGGUCCUGCUCUAUACCUGGGGGAAAGGAAUGCUGCACAGAGAGACCAAGAAGAAUCUAGACAGACGGUGCUGGGUUUCCCCACGCAGGCUGUUCACAUUAGAUCAUACUUUUCUUGUCCAGUCACAUUUCUGCAUGGCUGUGCCUGCUUCAUAGAACCUGAGCAUGAAAAUGGACAGUUUCUCCGAAGGCUACCAUGUCACAUGAAACUGAUAAUAAUAAAAAUUAUAUGCCUUUUCUUCA